GUGGGGAAUAUUGGACAAUGGGCGCAAGCCUGAUCCAGCCAUGCCGCGUGAGUGAUGAAGGCCUUAGGGUUGUAAAGCUCUUUCAGUAGGGAAGAUAAUGACGGUACCUACAGAAGAAGCCCCGGCUAACUUCGUGCCAGCAGCCGCGGUAAUACGAAGGGGGCUAGCGUUGUUCGGAUUUACUGGGCGUAAAGCGCACGUAGGCGGAUUGGUCAGUUAGAGGUGAAAUCCCGAAGCUCAACUUCGGAACUGCCUUUAAUACUGCCAGUCUCGAGUCCGGAAGAGGUGAGUGGAACUCCUAGUGUAGAGGUGGAAUUCGUAGAUAUUAGGAAGAACACCAGUGGCGAAGGCGGCUCACUGGUCCGGUACUGACGCUGAGGUGCGAAAGCGUGGGGAGCAAACAGGAUUAGAAACCCUGGUAGUCC
RNAcentral lists this ribosomal RNA (425 nucleotides) under uncultured bacterium. RNAcentral's name for it is "bacterial SSU rRNA". It matches the Rfam family "Bacterial small subunit ribosomal RNA", at positions 354 to 796 of the family's 1533-position model. The record is from RNAcentral.